CCAAUAGCGUAUAUUAAAGUUGUUGCAGUUAAAAAGCUCGUAGUUGAAUUUCGGGAUCAAAUUGUCGGUCGUGCCUCGGUUCGUGCUGGCGUUAUUGGUUCCUCCCUUCUGAAGAACCACGAUGUCAUUAAUUUGGUGUCGUGGGGAAUCAGGACUGUUACUUUGAAAAAAUUAGAGUGUUUAAAGCAGGCUCGCGCUUGAAUACAUUAGCAUGGAAUAAUGAAAUAGGACGUUUGAUUCUAUUUUGUUGGUUUCUAGGAUCGACGUAAUGAUUAAUAGGUAUAGUUGGGGGCAUUAGUAUUCAAUUGUCAGAGGUGAAAUUCUUGGAUUUAUUGAAGACUAACUACUGCGAAAGCAUUUGCCAAGGAUGUUUUCAUUAAUCAAGAACGAAAGUUAGGGGAUCGAAGACGAUCAGAUACCGUCGUAGUCUUAACCAUAAACUAUGCCGACUAGGGAUCGGAUGAUGUUAAUUUUUUAAUGACUCAUUCGGCGCCUUACG
Molecule: ribosomal RNA, 499 nt
Filed under: uncultured Glomeromycotina
Lineage: Eukaryota; Fungi; Glomeromycota
Description: partial small subunit ribosomal RNA
Rfam family: Eukaryotic small subunit ribosomal RNA
Source: RNAcentral